Molecule: ribosomal RNA, 382 nt
Filed under: uncultured eukaryote
Lineage: Eukaryota
Description: partial 18S ribosomal RNA
Rfam family: Eukaryotic small subunit ribosomal RNA
Source: RNAcentral
CAAUAGCGUAUAUUAAAGUUGUUGCAGUUAAAAAGCUCGUAGUUGGAUUUCUGGUUGAAGCGACCGGUCGGGCGUUGAUUCGUCUGCACUGGAGUCGGUUUUGGCCAUCCUCUAGGAAAGUGCGUCUGGUAUUAAGUUAUCGGGCGUAUGAUCUUGGUCUUUUACUGUGAAAAAAUUAGAGUGUUUAAAGCAGGCCUUCGCCUUGAAUACAUUAGCAUGGAAUAAUAAGAUAGGACUUUGGUCUAUUUUGUUGGUUUGCAGACCGAAGUAAUGAUUAAUAGGGAUAGUUGGGGGUAUUUAUAUUCCGAUGUCAGAGGUGAAAUUCUUAGAUUUUCGGAAGAUAAACUUAUGCGAAAGCAUUUACCAAGGAUGUUUUCAUUAA